GCUGGUGUGGCUCAGUGGUUAAGAGCAUCAGCCCACGUACUGAGGGGUCACGGGUUCAAUUCCUGGUCAAGGGCA
Non-coding RNA from Myotis brandtii (Brandt's bat), 75 nucleotides. NCBI's taxonomy places the organism in Eukaryota, Metazoa, Chordata, Mammalia, Chiroptera, Vespertilionidae. The record is from Rfam.